CCUGGCUCACGUUGAACGCUAGCUACAGGCUUAACACAUGCAAGUCGAGGGGCAGCAUUUUAGUUUGUUUGCAAACUAAAGAUGGCGACCGGCGCACGGGUGAGUAACACGUAUCCAACCUGCCGAUAACUCGGGGAUAGCCUUUCGAAAGAAAGAUUAAUAUCCGAUAGUAUAUUAAAACCGCAUGGUUUUACUAUUAAAGAAUUUCGGUUAUCGAUGGGGAUGCGUUCCAUUAGUUUGUUGGCGGGGUAACGGCCCACCAAGACUACGAUGGAUAGGGGUUCUGAGAGGAAGGUCCCCCACAUUGGAACUGAGACACGGUCCAAACUCCUACGGGAGGCAGCAGUGAGGAAUAUUGGUCAAUGGACGAGAGUCUGAACCAGCCAAGUAGCGUGAAGGAUGACUGCCCUAUGGGUUGUAAACUUCUUUUAUAUGGGAAUAAAGUUUUCCACGUGUGGGAUUUUGUAUGUACCAUAUGAAUAAGGAUCGGCUAACUCCGUGCCAGCAGCCGCGGUAAUACGGAGGAUCCGAGCGUUAUCCGGAUUUAUUGGGUUUAAAGGGAGCGUAGGUGGAUUGUUAAGUCAGUUGUGAAAGUUUGCGGCUCAACCGUAAAAUUGCAGUUGAAACUGGCAGUCUUGAGUACAGUAGAGGUGGGCGGAAUUCGUGGUGUAGCGGUGAAAUGCUUAGAUAUCACGAAGAACUCCGAUUGCGAAGCAGCUCACUAGACUGCAACUGACACUGAUGCUCGAAAGUGUGGGUAUCAAACAGGAUUAGAUACCCUGGUAGUCCACACAGUAAACGAUGAAUACUCGCUGUUUGCGAUAUACAGUAAGCGGCCAAGCGAAAGCAUUAAGUAUUCCACCUGGGGAGUACGCCGGCAACGGUGAAACUCAAAGGAAUUGACGGGGGCCCGCACAAGCGGAGGAACAUGUGGUUUAAUUCGAUGAUACGCGAGGAACCUUACCCGGGCUUAAAUUGCAUUUGAAUAAUCUGGAAACAGGUUAGCCGCAAGGCAAAUGUGAAGGUGCUGCAUGGUUGUCGUCAGCUCGUGCCGUGAGGUGUCGGCUUAAGUGCCAUAACGAGCGCAACCCUUAUCUUUAGUUACUAACAGGUGAUGCUGAGGACUCUAGAGAGACUGCCGUCGUAAGAUGUGAGGAAGGUGGGGAUGACGUCAAAUCAGCACGGCCCUUACGUCCGGGGCUACACACGUGUUACAAUGGGGGGUACAGAAGGCAGCUACCUGGCGACAGGAUGCUAAUCCCAAAAACCUCUCUCAGUUCGGAUCGAAGUCUGCAACCCGACUUCGUGAAGCUGGAUUCGCUAGUAAUCGCGCAUCAGCCAUGGCGCGGUGAAUACGUUCCCGGGCCUUGUACACACCGCC
RNAcentral lists this ribosomal RNA (1381 nucleotides) under uncultured bacterium. Its description in RNAcentral is "bacterial SSU rRNA". It matches the Rfam family "Bacterial small subunit ribosomal RNA", at positions 18 to 1394 of the family's 1533-position model. The record is from RNAcentral.